RNAcentral lists this ribosomal RNA (367 nucleotides) under uncultured bacterium. RNAcentral describes it as "bacterial SSU rRNA". It matches the Rfam family "Bacterial small subunit ribosomal RNA", at positions 434 to 793 of the family's 1533-position model. The record is from RNAcentral.
CAGCAGUGAGGAAGGUGGGUAUGUUAAUAGCAUAUCAUUUGACGUUAGCUGCAGAAGAAGCACCGGCUAACUCCGUGCCAGCAGCCGCGGUAAUACGGAGGGUGCGAGCGUUAAUCGGAAUUACUGGGCGUAAAGCGCAUGCAGGUGGUUUGUUAAGUCAGAUGUAGAAAGCCCGGGGCUCAACCUCGGAAUUGCUAUUUAGAAACUGGACAAACUAGAGUACUGUAGAGGGGGUAGGAAUUUCAGGUGUAGCGGUGAAAUGCGUAGAGAUCUGAAGGAAUACCGGUGGCGAAGGCGGCCCCCUGGACAGAUACUGACACUCAGAUGCGAAAGCGUGGGGAGCAAACAGGAUUAGAUACCCUGAUAG